UGGGGUGUAGCCAAGCGGUAAGGCAACGGGUUUUGAUCCCGUCAUGCGUAGGUUCGAAUCCUACCACCCCAG
RNAcentral lists this transfer RNA (72 nucleotides) under SAR86 cluster bacterium SAR86B. It matches the Rfam family "tRNA". From Rfam's summary of the family: Transfer RNA (tRNA) molecules are approximately 80 nucleotides in length. Their secondary structure includes four short double-helical elements and three loops (D, anti-codon, and T loops). The record is from Rfam by way of RNAcentral. RNAcentral also lists the same sequence under 1 other name. Lineage: Bacteria; Pseudomonadati; Pseudomonadota; Gammaproteobacteria.